RNAcentral lists this ribosomal RNA (253 nucleotides) under uncultured bacterium. Its description in RNAcentral is "partial 16S ribosomal RNA". It matches the Rfam family "Bacterial small subunit ribosomal RNA", at positions 524 to 776 of the family's 1533-position model. The record is from RNAcentral.
UACAGAGGUGGCAAGCGUUGUUCGGAAUUACUGGGCGUAAAGGGCGCGUAGGCGGCCUUCUAAGUCGGACGUGAAAUCCCCAGGCUUAACUUGGGAACUGCGUCUGAUACUGGAAGGCUUGAGUGCGGGAGAGGGAUGUGGAAUUCCAGGUGUAGCGGUGAAAUGCGUAGAUAUCUGGAGGAACAUCAGUGGCGAAGGCGGCGAUCUGGGAAGUUACUGACGCUGAGGUGCGAAAGCGUGGGGAGCAAACAGG